This 411-nucleotide ribosomal RNA is filed under the name uncultured bacterium. RNAcentral's name for it is "bacterial SSU rRNA". It matches the Rfam family "Bacterial small subunit ribosomal RNA", at positions 968 to 1392 of the family's 1533-position model. The record is from RNAcentral.
ACCUUACCCAGGUUUGACAUCCUUGGAAUUUCUGCGAAAGCAGAGAGUGCUUUAUUGAGCCAAGUGACAGGUGUUGCAUGGCCGUCGUCAGCUCGUGUCGUGAGAUGUUUGGUUAAGUCCAUCAACGAGCGCAACCCUUAUGGUCUGUUGUAUUUCUCAGGCCAGACUGCCCUGGUAACAGGGAGGAAGGGGGGGAUGAUGUCAGGUCAGUAUUACCCUUACAUCUGGGGCUACAAACACGCUACAAUGGCCGGUACAAAGGGCUGCCAAGUCGCGAGACGGAGCAAAUCCCAUCAAAGCCGGUCUCAGUUCGGAUAGCAGGCUGAAACUCGCCUGCUUGAAGUCGGAAUCGCUAGUAACGGUAGGUCAGCUAUACUACCGUGAAUACGUUCCCGGGUCUUGUACACACCG